RNAcentral lists this non-coding RNA (21 nucleotides) under Caenorhabditis elegans. Lineage: Eukaryota; Metazoa; Nematoda; Chromadorea; Rhabditida; Rhabditidae. The record is from RNAcentral.
UUACCAAAAAUAUUUAAUUGA